Molecule: ribosomal RNA, 497 nt
Filed under: uncultured bacterium
Lineage: Bacteria
Description: partial 16S ribosomal RNA
Rfam family: Bacterial small subunit ribosomal RNA
Source: RNAcentral
GAUGAACGCUGGCGGCGUGCCUAAUACGUGCAAGUCGAGCGAACGGACGAGAAGCUUGCUUCUCUGAUGUUAGCGGCGGACGGGUGAGUAACACGUGGAUAACCUACCUAUAAGACUGGGAUAACUUCGGGAAACCGGAGCUAAUACCGGAUAAUAUUUUGAACCGCAUGGUUCAAAAGUGAAAGACGGUCUUGCUGUCACUUAUAGAUGGAUCCGCGCUGCAUUAGCUAGUUGGUAAGGUAACGGCUUACCAAGGCAACGAUGCAUAGCCGACCUGAGAGGGUGAUCGGCCACACUGGAACUGAGACACGGUCCAGACUCCUACGGGAGGCAGCAGUAGGGAAUCUUCCGCAAUGGGCGAAAGCCUGACGGAGCAACGCCGCGUGAGUGAUGAUGGUCUUCGGAUCGUAAAACUCUGUUAUUAGGGAAGAACAUAUGUGUAAGUAACUGUGCACAUCUUGACGGUACCUAAUCAGAAAGCCACGGCUAACUACGUG